UCACAAAAGCCGAAAAAGUACCGUUAGGUU
This 30-nucleotide small RNA is filed under the name Bombyx mori (domestic silkworm). RNAcentral describes it as "ovarian small RNA-24951". Lineage: Eukaryota; Metazoa; Arthropoda; Insecta; Lepidoptera; Bombycidae. The record is from RNAcentral.